CUAAACGACUCUCGGCAACGGAUAUCUCGGCUCUCGCAUCGAUGAAGAACGUAGCGAAAUGCGAUACUUGGUGUGAAUUGCAGAAUCCCGUGAACCAUCGAGUCUUUGAACGCAAGUUGCGCCCGAAGCCUCACGGCCGAGGGCACGCCUGCCUGGGCGUCACGCA
Molecule: ribosomal RNA, 166 nt
Filed under: Cycnium racemosum
Lineage: Eukaryota; Viridiplantae; Streptophyta; Magnoliopsida; Lamiales; Orobanchaceae
Description: 5.8S ribosomal RNA
Rfam family: 5.8S ribosomal RNA
About the family: 5.8S ribosomal RNA (5.8S rRNA) is a component of the large subunit of the eukaryotic ribosome. It is transcribed by RNA polymerase I as part of the 45S precursor that also contains 18S and 28S rRNA.
Source: RNAcentral